UACGUAGGGUGCAAGCGUUGUCCGGAAUUAUUGGGCGUAAAGAGCUCGUAGGCGGUCUGUCGCGUCGGCUGUGAAAACCCGGAGCUCAACUCCGGGCCUGCAGUCGAUACGGGCAGACUGGAGUUCGGCAGGGAAGACUGGAAUUCCUGGUGUAGCGGUGAAAUGCGCAGAUAUCAGGAGGAACACCGGUGGCGAAGGCGGGUCUCUGGGCCGAUACUGACGCUGAGGAGCGAAAGUGUGGGGAGCGAACAGG
RNAcentral lists this ribosomal RNA (253 nucleotides) under uncultured bacterium. RNAcentral's name for it is "partial 16S ribosomal RNA". It matches the Rfam family "Bacterial small subunit ribosomal RNA", at positions 524 to 776 of the family's 1533-position model. The record is from RNAcentral.